This 492-nucleotide ribosomal RNA is filed under the name uncultured bacterium. RNAcentral describes it as "partial 16S ribosomal RNA". It matches the Rfam family "Bacterial small subunit ribosomal RNA", at positions 29 to 507 of the family's 1533-position model. The record is from RNAcentral.
AGUGAACGCUGGCGGUAGGCCUAACACAUGCAAGUCGAACGGCAGCACAGUAAGAGCUUGCUCUUACGGGUGGCGAGUGGCGGACGGGCGAGGAAUACAUCGGAAUCUACUUUUUCGUGGGGGAUAACGUAGGGAAACUUACGCUAAUACCGCAUACGACCUACGGGUGAAAGCAGGGGAUCUUCGGACCUUGCGCGAUUGAAUGAGCCGAUGUCGGAUUAGCUAGUUGGCGGGGUAAAGGCCCACCAAGGCGACGAUCCGUAGCUGGUCUGAGAGGAUGAUCAGACACACUGGAACUGAGACACGGUCCAGACUCCUACGGGAGGCAGCAGUGGGGAAUAUUGGACAAUGGGCGCAAGCCUGAUCCAGCCAUACCGCGUGGGUGAAGAAGGCCUUCGGGUUGUAAAGCCCUUUUGUUGGGAAAGAAAAGCAGCAGGUUAAUACCCCGCUGUUCUGACGGUACCCAAAGAAUAAGCACCGGCUAACUUCGUG